GUCUUUAUGUAUGAAGUAUAAAGUCUGGCCUGCCCACUGAUUUUUUUAAAGGGCCGCGGUAAAUUGACCGUGCGAAGGUAGCAUAAUCAAUAGUCUUUUAAUUGGAGGCUGGAAUGAAUGGUCGGACGGGGAUAGUCUGUCUUGUUUUUAAUAAUUGAACUUUACUUUUAAGUGAAAAGGCUUAAAUAUUUAAGUGGGACGAUAAGACCCUAUAAAACUUUAUGUGUAAAAUUUGUAUGUAAAGUAUUUAUUAACAUUAAUAAGUUUUAUUACAUUGUGUUGGGGCGACAGAGAUAUAAUAAGAUAACUGUCUUUAAGAAGAAAUAACAUAAUUAUUUUUAAAUUGAUCCUUAACUUAGGAUUAAAAGUUUAAGUUACUUUAGGGAUAACAGCGUAAUUUUUUCUGAGAGUUCUUUUCGAAGAAAGUAGUUGCGACCUCGAUGUUGAAUUAAGAUGUUAUCAAGGUGCAGAAGCUUUGAUUGUAGGUCUGUUCGACCUUUAAAAUCUUACAUGAUUUGAGUUCAAACCGGUGUGAG
This 536-nucleotide ribosomal RNA is filed under the name Lucaya bigelowi. Its description in RNAcentral is "partial 16S ribosomal RNA". It matches the Rfam family "Bacterial large subunit ribosomal RNA", at positions 1819 to 2625 of the family's 2925-position model. Lineage: Eukaryota; Metazoa; Arthropoda; Malacostraca; Decapoda; Disciadidae. The record is from RNAcentral.